CACGGUUUCAUCCCUGCAAUCUCCAAACAAAACAGGAAAACUGAAUGAAUUAUGUUUUUAGCAACCGUAUCUAAAAGAAAUAAAAGACAUCUUACUUAACAAAUUAAAACCUUUUCUUUUGCAGAUUCCGACGACGACGAAGCACCCGAGGACCAACGACAACAGAAUGAUGCGGACGAAGCCUAACUGAUGUAAGUAAAAUCCUCUUCAAUAACACAUCACACUAUUAUCGUUCCCCAAUCUCACAAACUUAAGCUCUAAUCAGGCCAGGGAUCCCACAGGUGAUGCUGUCCCGACAACGGAGAAAAAAGAAAGAAAGAUAACCUAACGUUUUUUUUUUUAAUUUUCAGUUUUUAAGUUCAAAUCAGGUUUUUGACAUAGAGCCCAACAUAAUUUGAGCUCAAACAUUUUAAAUCCACAAUUACUUUUUUAUAAUGUAAAAACGUCAACCUUCGUUUAUGUUUUGUUAAACUAUUUUAAUCUUUAUGUUUUGUUAAACUAUUUCACACAGGGGGCAGAUCUCCUUAGAAGGAGAGCCACUCGCC
Molecule: long non-coding RNA, 545 nt
Filed under: Brassica rapa (field mustard)
Lineage: Eukaryota; Viridiplantae; Streptophyta; Magnoliopsida; Brassicales; Brassicaceae
Description: long non-coding RNA (BRAP_LNC005186)
Source: RNAcentral